This 253-nucleotide ribosomal RNA is filed under the name uncultured bacterium. RNAcentral describes it as "partial 16S ribosomal RNA". It matches the Rfam family "Bacterial small subunit ribosomal RNA", at positions 524 to 776 of the family's 1533-position model. The record is from RNAcentral.
UACGUAGGGUGCGAGCGUUAAUCGGAAUUACUGGGCGUAAAGCGUGCGCAGGCGGUUUGUUAAGACAGAUGUGAAAUCCCCGGGCUUAACCUGGGAACUGCAUUUGUGACUGGCAAGCUAGAGUAUGGCAGAGGGGGGUAGAAUUCCACGUGUAGCAGUGAAAUGCGUAGAGAUGUGGAGGAAUACCGAUGGCGAAGGCAGCCCCCUGGGCCAAUACUGACGCUGAGACGCGAAAGCGUGGGGAGCAAACAGG